Molecule: ribosomal RNA, 460 nt
Filed under: uncultured bacterium
Lineage: Bacteria
Description: partial 16S ribosomal RNA
Rfam family: Bacterial small subunit ribosomal RNA
Source: RNAcentral
CCUACGGGUGGCAGCAGUGAGGAAUAUUGGUCAAUGGGCGUAAGCCUGAACCAGCCAAGUCGCGUGAGGGAUGAAGGUUCUAUGGAUCGUAAACCUCUUUUAUAAGGGAGUAAAGUGCGGGACGUGUCCCGUUUUGUCUGUACCUUAUGAAUAAGGAUCGGCUAACUCCGUGCCAGCAGCCGCGGUAAUACGGAGGAUCCGAGCGUUAUCCGGAUUUAUUGGGUUUAAGGGGUGCGUAGGCGGCCUUUUAAGGCCGCGGUGAAAGGCCGGGGCUCAACCAUGGAAUUGCCGUGGAAACUGGGAGGCUGGAGUAGGUUAGAGGCAGGCGGAAUGCGUGGUGUAGCGGUGAAAUGCUUAGAUAUCACGCAGAACCCCGAUUGCGAAGGCAGCCUGCCAGGCCAUGACUGACGCUGAUGCACGAAAGCGUGGGGAUCAAACAGGAUUAGAUACCCUGGUAGUC